This 50-nucleotide transfer RNA is filed under the name Hygrobates turcicus. RNAcentral describes it as "tRNA-Ile". Lineage: Eukaryota; Metazoa; Arthropoda; Arachnida; Trombidiformes; Hygrobatidae. The record is from RNAcentral.
AGAAUAGUCUGUCUGUCUUGAUGCGACAGAAAGGGGGUCCCCCUAUUCCA